GGGUUGUGAGGUUAAGCGACUAAGCGUACACGGUGGAUGCCCUGGCAGUCAGAGGCGAUGAAGGACGUGCUAAUCUGCGAAAAGCGUCGGUAAGGUGAUAUGAACCGUUAUAGCCGGCGAUGUCCGAAUGGGGAAACCCAGUGUGAUUCGUCACACUAUCGUUAACUGAAUACAUAGGUUAACGAGGCGAACCGGGGGAACUGAAACAUCUAAGUACCCCGAGGAAAAGAAAUCAACCGAGAUUCCCCCAGUAGCGGCGAGCGAACGGGGAGCAGCCCAGAGUCUGAAUCAGCUUGUGUGUUAGUGGAACGGUCUGGAAAGUCCGACGGUACAGGGUGAUAGUCCCGUACACCAAAAUGCACAGGUUGUGAACUCGAAGAGUAGGGCGGGACACGUGGUAUCCUGUCUGAAUAUGGGGGGACCAUCCUCCAAGGCUAAAUACUCCUGACUGACCGAUAGUGAACCAGUACCGUGAGGGAAAGGCGAAAAGAACCCCGGCGAGGGGAGUGAAAAAGAACCUGAAACCGUGUACGUACAAGCAGUGGGAGCACCUUCGGGUGUGACUGCGUACCUUUUGUAUAAUGGGUCAGCGACUUAUAUUCUGUAGCAAGGUUAACCGUAUAGGGGAGCCGCAGGGAAACCGAGUCUUAACUGGGCGUUAAGUUGCAGGGUAUAGACCCGAAACCCGGUGAUCUAGCCAUGGGCAGGUUGAAGGUUGGGUAACACUAACUGGAGGACCGAACCGACUAAUGUUGAAAAAUUAGCGGAUGACUUGUGGCUGGGGGUGAAAGGCCAAUCAAACCGGGAGAUAGCUGGUUCUCCCCGAAAGCUAUUUAGGUAGCGCCUCGUGAACUCAUCUUCGGGGGUAGAGCACUGUUUCGGCUAGGGGGUCAUCCCGACUUACCAACCCGAUGCAAACUACGAAUACCGAAGAAUGUUAUCACGGGAGACACACGGCGGGUGCUAACGUCCGUCGUGAAGAGGGAAACAACCCAGACCGCCAGCUAAGGUCCCAAAGUCAUGGUUAAGUGGGAAACGAUGUGGGAAGGCACAGACAGCCAGGAUGUUGGCUUAGAAGCAGCCAUCAUUUAAAGAAAGCGUAAUAGCUCACUGGUCGAGUCGGCCUGCGCGGAAGAUGUAACGGGGCUAAACCAUGCACCGAAGCUGCGGCAGCGACACUAUGUGUUGUUGGGUAGGGGAGCGUUCUGUAAGCCUGCGAAGGUGACCUGUGAGGGUUGCUGGAGGUAUCAGAAGUGCGAAUGCUGACAUAAGUAACGAUAAAGCGGGUGAAAAGCCCGCUCGCCGGAAGACCAAGGGUUCCUGUCCAACGUUAAUCGGGGCAGGGUGAGUCGACCCCUAAGGCGAGGCCGAAAGGCGUAGUCGAUGGGAAACAGGUUAAUAUUCCUGUACUUGGUGUUACUGCGAAGGGGGGACGGAGAAGGCUAUGUUAGCCGGGCGACGGUUGUCCCGGUUUAAGCAUGUAGGCUGGUUGUCCAGGCAAAUCCGGAUAAUCAAGGCUGAGGUGUGAUGACGAGGCACUACGGUGCUGAAGUAACAAAUGCCCUGCUUCCAGGAAAAGCCUCUAAGCAUCAGGUAACAUCAAAUCGUACCCCAAACCGACACAGGUGGUCAGGUAGAGAAUACCAAGGCGCUUGAGAGAACUCGGGUGAAGGAACUAGGCAAAAUGGUGCCGUAACUUCGGGAGAAGGCACGCUGGUGUGUAGGUGAAGUCCCUGCGGAUGGAGCUGAGACCAGUCGAAGAUACCAGCUGGCUGCAACUGUUUAUUAAAAACACAGCACUGUGCAAACACGAAAGUGGACGUAUACGGUGUGACGCCUGCCCGGUGCCGGAAGGUUAAUUGAUGGGGUUAUCCGUAAGGAGAAGCUCUUGAUCGAAGCCCCGGUAAACGGCGGCCGUAACUAUAACGGUCCUAAGGUAGCGAAAUUCCUUGUCGGGUAAGUUCCGACCUGCACGAAUGGCGUAAUGAUGGCCAGGCUGUCUCCACCCGAGACUCAGUGAAAUUGAACUCGCUGUGAAGAUGCAGUGUACCCGCGGCAAGACGGAAAGACCCCGUGAACCUUUACUAUAGCUUGACACUGAACAUUGAGCCUUGAUGUGUAGGAUAGGUGGGAGGCUUUGAAGCGUGGACGCCAGUCUGCGUGGAGCCAACCUUGAAAUACCACCCUUUAAUGUUUGAUGUUCUAACGUUGGCCCCUGACCGGGGUUGCGGACAGUGUCUGGUGGGUAGUUUGACUGGGGCGGUCUCCUCCCAAAGCGUAACGGAGGAGCACGAAGGUUAGCUAAUCCUGGUCGGACAUCAGGAGGUUAGUGCAAUGGCAUAAGCUAGCUUGACUGCGAGCGUGACGGCGCGAGCAGGUGCGAAAGCAGGUCAUAGUGAUCCGGUGGUUCUGAAUGGAAGGGCCAUCGCUCAACGGAUAAAAGGUACUCCGGGGAUAACAGGCUGAUACCGCCCAAGAGUUCAUAUCGACGGCGGUGUUUGGCACCUCGAUGUCGGCUCAUCACAUCCUGGGGCUGAAGUAGGUCCCAAGGGUAUGGCUGUUCGCCAUUUAAAGUGGUACGCGAGCUGGGUUUAGAACGUCGUGAGACAGUUCGGUCCCUAUCUGCCGUGGGCGCUGGAGAAUUGAGGGGGGCUGCUCCUAGUACGAGAGGACCGGAGUGGACGCAUCACUGGUGUUCGGGUUGUCAUGCCAAUGGCACUGCCCGGUAGCUAAAUGCGGAAGAGAUAAGUGCUGAAAGCAUCUAAGCACGAAACUUGCCCCGAGAUGAGUUCUCCCUGAGACUUUAAGUCUCCUGAAGGAACGUUGAAGACGACGACGUUGAUAGGCCGGGUGUGUAAGCGCAGCGAUGCGUUGAGCUAACCGGUACUAAUGAACCGUGAGGCUUAACCUUACAACGCCGAAG
Molecule: ribosomal RNA, 2923 nt
Filed under: Klebsiella pneumoniae
Lineage: Bacteria; Pseudomonadati; Pseudomonadota; Gammaproteobacteria; Enterobacterales; Enterobacteriaceae
Description: 23S ribosomal RNA
Rfam family: Bacterial large subunit ribosomal RNA
Source: RNAcentral